This is a long non-coding RNA of Lagopus leucura (white-tailed ptarmigan), 689 nucleotides long. RefSeq lists it as uncharacterized. NCBI's taxonomy places the organism in Eukaryota, Metazoa, Chordata, Aves, Galliformes, Phasianidae. The record is from RefSeq and is a predicted model, not a curated record. The transcript has 3 exons.
AGCUAUCAGCUCUCAGUGCAGUAGGCAGCGCAGGGACAUCAGCGCCCAUUCCCCGUGCACAGACCUCCCGCAGCCCCUGGCAAUGCCUGCGUCCACGGCCGGUCCCUUCGCGCUAAGUCCUGCUGGCUUCGUAGCUAAGCUGUGCGAUAAAGCUGUCCUUCCCUCGCUCCCCUUCUCCGCCUGCGGCGACAGCGGAACCUCUUCUCUCGCAGCAAGUCCAAGCAUUGCUCACCCUGACAACUUGCUGGAAAAAUAUCCCAGUGUCUCCUUUUGGUGACAGGGAGGCUGCUGUGAUCAAUAUCAAACACAGUGACCUCUGGUAUUUCUGAUGGCUCCCUGGGCAGCUAAUCAUCUCCAUAUAUUUAGUUACUGAUGUCACAGUGGUGCGGGAAUAGAAAAAAUUAAGCAGCAAGGUUCUUAACCAAGGGCUCAUGGAAAGUCAGAUUACGCACCGCAAAGAAAAACAUGACAAAAUUAAAAAAGAACAGGACAAAGAAAUCUAUUGGACCAGAAACUUCACACCGGUGAAGCAGAAGCCAUCCAAGGAGUUGAGGCCCAUGCUGGGGGCCGUCACGCUGGGUCUCAUCCUGUUCAUCGCCGCGGUGGUGGCCUGGUGCUACUACACGGUGUCCCUGCGGAAGGCGGAGAGGCUCAAGACGGAGCUGAUGGACCUGCGGGCGGACGGCUUC